GGGUUGUAAACCGCUUUUCGGGGGGAAGAGGAAGGACGGUACCCCCGGAAUAAGUCUCGGCUAACUACGUGCCAGCAGCCGCGGUAAAACGUAGGAGGCAAACGUUAUCCGGAUUUACUGGGUGUAAAGCGCGUGCAGGCGGUUUCGUAAGUCGUGUGUGAAAGCGCUCAGGCUCAACCGGGCGAGGCCAUGCGAAACUGCGGAACUGGAGGCAGGUAGAGGCGUGUGGAAUUCCGGGUGUAGUGGUGAAAUGCGUAGAUAUCCGGAGGAACACCAGUGGCGAAGGCGACACGCUGGGCCUGACCUGACGCUAAGGCGCGAAAGCAUGGGGAGCGAACGGGAUUAGAAACCCCGGUAGUCCAUGCCGUAAACGAUGCGUACUAGGUGUUGCGGUGUCAAAACUGCAGUGCCGGAGCCAACGUGAUAAGUACGCCACCUGGGGACUACGGCCGCAAGGUUAAAACUCAA
This 468-nucleotide ribosomal RNA is filed under the name Chloroflexota bacterium. RNAcentral's name for it is "bacterial SSU rRNA". It matches the Rfam family "Bacterial small subunit ribosomal RNA", at positions 420 to 904 of the family's 1533-position model. Lineage: Bacteria; Bacillati; Chloroflexota. The record is from RNAcentral.